Molecule: ribosomal RNA, 200 nt
Filed under: uncultured bacterium
Lineage: Bacteria
Description: partial 16S ribosomal RNA
Rfam family: Bacterial small subunit ribosomal RNA
Source: RNAcentral
GACGAACGCUGGCGGCGCGCUUAACACAUGCAAGUCGAGCGGGAACCAGGCCUUCGGGCCUGGGGAAAGCGGCGAACGGGUGGGUAACACGUGGGUAAUCUGCCCUCGGCACCGGGAUAGCCCGGGGAAACUCGGAUUAAUACCGGAUAGCCUCCGAAGCCUUCGGGCGUCGGAGAAAAGGUGGCUUCGGCUUCCGGCUG